AGCACUAGAUCAGCGGAUCUGGCAGCUGCACCGAACAUCCGGGCCACAGCGAGCUCGGCGGCUCCGCCUCCCAGUAACCCGGGCGACCGCUCCGAAGUUCCUCCCCCGCUUCCGGGUUUAGGCUCUGAGACCCCGCCCCCUCCGGACGGGGUUGGUUCGCGUCUCGCCCUCCUCGCGCGGAGUCAGUGGGUAGGGGUCGGGCUUGAAACCAUAGCUGCGGGAAGGUACUCGUGUCUCCCGACGCAGACCAUGGAGAGCGCGCUGGCGGUGCCCCGGCUGCCCCCGCAUGAUCCAGGGACGCCGGUGCUGUCGGUGGUGGACAUGCACACGGGCGGCGAGCCCCUGCGUAUCGUGCUGGCGGGGUGUCCGGAGGUGUCCGGGCCCACCCUGCUGGCCAAGCGGCGCUACAUGCGCCAGCACCUUGACCACGUGCGGCGACGGCUCCUGUUCGAGCCCCGAGGGCACCGGGAUAUGUACGGGGCGGUCCUAGUCCCGAGCGAGCUGCCGGACGCGCAUCUGGGCGUCCUGUUCCUGCACAACGAGGGCUACAGCUCCAUGUGCGGCCACGCAGUGGUGGCGCUGGGCCGCUUCGCUUUGGACUUCGGGCUUGUGCCGGCGCCCCCUGCGGGCACCCGCGAGGCCCGCGUCAACAUCCACUGCCCGUGCGGGCUGGUGACCGCCUUCGUGGCAUGCGAGGACGGCCGCAGCCACGGACCGGUGCGCUUCCACAGCGUCCCAGCCUUCGUGCUGGCCACAGAUCUCGUGGUGGAUGUUCCUGGACAUGGAAAGGUGGUGGUGGACAUUGCAUAUGGCGGUGCAUUUUAUGCAUUUGUUACUGCUGAAAAGUUAGGACUAGACAUUUGUUCUGCAAAGACCAGGGACCUUGUGGAUGCAGCGAGUGCAGUGACAGAGGCAGUGAAAGCUCAGUUUAAAAUUAAUCAUCCUGAUAGUGAAGACCUUGCCUUUUUAUAUGGAACUAUAUUAACAGAUGGAAAAGAUGCUUAUACCAAGGAACCAACCACCAACAUUUGUGUUUUUGCAGAUGAACAGGUUGACAGAAGUCCCACUGGCUCAGGAGUGACAGCCCGAAUUGCCUUACAGUAUCACAAAGGGCUUCUGGAACUGAACCAGACCAGAGCCUUCAAAAGCAGUGCAACUGGCUCAGUAUUCACAGGGAAAGCUGUGAGGGUAAGUGACACCCUUAGCUUCUUAUUUAUAAAUGUGUCACUUAUGAGACUGAAGAGGCCUGAGUUGGGUGUUUGAUAAAUUUCUUUACUCAGCUCUCAGAAGAGAAUUUUAAAGCAGGCCUGUAAAAACUUCUUUUCAGCUAGGACAUUGGUUCUCCAGUGUGGUCUUGGGGCCCCAGGGGGCCCCUAAGGUCCUUUCCAUGGGUUCAGAAGGUCAAAACUAUGUUCAUAAUAAUGACAUUAUUUGCUUUUCACUGUCAUUCUCUCAAGAGCCUACAGUGGAGUUCUUCAGAGGCUACGUGAUGUAUGAUAACCCAACCAAUUGAAUGCAGAAGCUAGAUAUGAGAACUUAGUUGUCUUCUAUUAAGCCAGACAUGAAAGAGGUUUGCAAAAAUAUCAAUGCCACUUUUCUCAUAAUUUUUUUUUGUUUUGGCAAACAGUUAUUUUCACAAAAAUAUGUUAUUCAUAUGUUAAUGUAUAAUGGGUUUGUUAUUUUAAAAAUGAAGUAAUGAACAGAUAUAUCUAAUUCCUAAUACAGUAAAUAUUGAUAGAUAUAACUUAUAUAAAGAAAAACUCUUUGGGGUCCUCAAAUCUUAAGGUAUAAAAGGGUCCUGAGACCAAAAGGUUUGAGAACCACUAAAUUAGGAUUUGGGGUUUUUUUUGUUUGUUUUUUUUUGUUUUAUUUUAUAAUAGUGUUUUAUUUGAUAUAAUAGGAUGUGAAAGCCCUAAAAAGUUGUGGAACAUCAAAUUUUUGUAAUGGAAUAAAAUUUUAAAUGUGCUAACAGCUAAAUAAUGAAUCUUAUCUCAGUAGUAAAUGAAAUCUACUACAGAAUGAUUGAUUUACAUUCAGUAAAUUAUUCUACUCAUAAAGAGUCCUUUAACAUAGCAAACAAUCUAUCCUAGUAUAGCUGUUUUUAAGAUUUGGUAUUUCUGAAUAUUAGAGUUUCCUUAAGGAUCUCUACAUCAUGUAGUGAUCUGAAACGUGAAACCAUUUGUGUUGUAUGCAAAAAUUCGGAAAACACUGUCUUCAGAAUUUGAAAUGGAACAUAAAAAUAAUAACAUACAUUUAUUGGAUACUUCACUGUGCAUCAGUUUCCAAGCUAAGCACUUGAUACGUGCCAUCUCAUUUAAUCCUCACAAGAAUCCUACAAGGUCAGUACUGUACUGUUAUUAUCCUUUUUUAAUAGAUGAUAAAAUGGAGAAUUGGAGAAGUUAGGUAAUUUGCCAGAGGUUAGUUAGUGAGUAGCAGAUCCAGGUCAUGAAGGUGGGUCUCUCUGAACAGACCACAUGCUGUUAAGCUUUAUAUUAUGUUGCUGUCAGACAAAGCAAAAGGUCAAUGAGACUUUAUAUUAUAGGAGCUGUUAUGAGAAGAAUCUGAGACUUCAAUGUCCCCCCAAAUAGAGAGGCAGCCGAGAGACCAAAGAAUGACUCAGACAAGUCCAGGAAGCGAAAUGUGGUGAUUUUAAAGCUGUUAUAGUGGAAGUGUCAGGACAAGCCCAUUACACGGGUACAGCAAGCUUUAUAGUAGAAGAUGACGACCCACUGAGGGAUGGAUUUCUUCUCAAGUGACUUCUUCCAUGAUUUUAAGGGCUUUCUUUUUAAAGUAAUCAUUAUCCUUGAGUACUGUUUUCUCUAAAUUAUAUG
RNA transcript from Nomascus leucogenys (northern white-cheeked gibbon), 2831 nucleotides. It is a transcript of the gene named trans-L-3-hydroxyproline dehydratase, with no coding region annotated. The record is from RefSeq and is a predicted model, not a curated record. Lineage: Eukaryota; Metazoa; Chordata; Mammalia; Primates; Hylobatidae.